Molecule: ribosomal RNA, 21 nt
Filed under: Cycas micholitzii
Lineage: Eukaryota; Viridiplantae; Streptophyta; Cycadopsida; Cycadales; Cycadaceae
Description: partial 26S rRNA
Source: RNAcentral
CGACCCCAGGUCAGGCGAGAG